AUGUUCUUUUCGGUUUCUGGUGAUAAAGGUGCUGGGACAGUAAGAGGCGGCGGGGCAGAGGCUCCGGGCGCGGGCGCGGGGGUGGGCGCGGCGGGGGGGGUGGGGGUGGGGGGUGGGGGGGGGGGGGGGGGGGGGGGGAGCGGCGGGCGCUGGACGCUCUCCGAGACCCACACGGAGGUCGCGCUCCCUUUCCUUCCCCUGCUUACCCGCAGGCGGCCUGUAAUUAGCGCAGCAAGUCGGUCUGAGCGAGGCAAAUCACCGGCUUUCCGCGAAAUAAUUAUAUUGCCGCAGCUCCGGGACAUGUGCACCUCCAAGCCUGAGACGCAGAGAGAUGUUUUUCUUCCUCGUGGCCGGGGGCAGGGAGGGGAGAAGUGGAAGCGACGGUGGCGCGGGGGGCAGAGCGGCGCAGGGCGCGGGGAGCCGGCGGGGCCCCCGGGGGCGUGGGAACGCGGCAAACAGCGCCCCGCGCAGGCCGCGCUCCGACGGCUCCGACGGCCCCGACGGCCCCGACGCCCCCGCGGCUCCCGGGCCCGGCCCGUAGCGCCCCGCCGCCGGGGCCCGCGGGGGGAAAGGGCCCGUGUCGCCGGAGCGACGCCCGGCGCGGCCUCCGGGGCGGGGACAGCCCGGGCACCUCGCCGUCCCGCCCAGAGCCGGCGCGUUCCGGGGGUGGGGGCCGCGGCGCGCGGAGCCGGCCGGAGCGGAGCGGAGCGGAGCGGAGCGCGGCCCCGCGUCGCCCGCGGCUCGGGCAGGUGCGCGGCGCGUCGGCCCCGGUGCUCGCGCCCUCCCGCCCCGCGGCCCGGGCGCCGCGCCCGCCCCGCCCGCCCCGCCCCGCCCCCGCCCCCGCCCCCGCCCGCGGGCCGCCCGGGGCAGGGCCUGCAGCUGCGGCCGGCGAGCGGCGAGCGGCGCGCGGGGCAUGGGCCGGCGGCCGGCGGCGGAGGGCGGCUGAGGGUGGCCGAGGGUGCGCGCCCGGCGGGGACCGAGCCGUCGGCGGCACAGAGCCGGCCCCGCGGCGGGCGGCGGGCGGGGGCGGGGGCGGGGGCGGGGGCGGGGGCGGCGCUGCCGGGAGCGAUGCGCUGA
RNAcentral lists this long non-coding RNA (1077 nucleotides) under Canis lupus familiaris (dog). Its description in RNAcentral is "lncRNA (ENSCAFG00845010271.1)". The record is from RNAcentral. Lineage: Eukaryota; Metazoa; Chordata; Mammalia; Carnivora; Canidae.